GCCAGCCACCUCAGGCCGGGAUGCCAACUUCCUGGAGGAAGAGAGGCUUCUAAGAGAGUACCCUCAGUCCUUUGAGAAAGGGGUACCCUACCUGGAGUUCCGCUACAAGACCCGAGUCUACAAACAGACCAACCUGGAUGAGAAACAGCUGGCCAAACUGCACACGAAGACGGGGUUGAAGAAGUUCCUUGAAUAUGUGCAGCUCGGGACGUCUGACAAGGUGGCGAGGCUGCUGGACAAGGGGCUGGACCCCAAUUACCACGACUCAGAUUCAGGAGAGACACCUUUGACCCUGGCGGCCCAGACUGAAGGCUCAGUAGAGGUGAUUCGGACGCUGUGCCUGGGCGGGGCGCACAUAGACUUCAGGG
Molecule: long non-coding RNA, 368 nt
Filed under: Rattus norvegicus (Norway rat)
Lineage: Eukaryota; Metazoa; Chordata; Mammalia; Rodentia; Muridae
Description: long non-coding RNA NONRATT000651
Source: RNAcentral